AAUGGYUUWGRUUAGUACCAAUUUAAAAAAGUCUMACCURGACCGAUCGAGAUCGGGCACGUACGGCGCAUUUUUCGUAAUUGCGAACACCGCGAUCGGUUUACUUCGCUCGUUAACGAACGCGGACGAAUUGAGGGCGCUGUCCGCGAGGACACGCGUAACCGAUCGUCCCGAUUAACGACGAGACGAAUAGACUGUAUAAUAUAUCUGAUACGGACGUCGGUCGUAAAGCUCGUUCCGAUAAUAGAGAWUCGGUCGUAGGCGAGUCGCUCUGCUCGCAGAUCUCGCGCCUACCCAGGCYGWUUGCUUCUAUCUUCGGACGACGUUUCGACGUUUCCGGAUUCAGCGGUGCUUUUAUUAAGUCGGUCGCUCGUCCGACCCGUCUUGAAACACGGACCAAGGAGUCUAACAUAUGCGCGAGUCAAUGAGUAUUUUAAUACUCUAAUAGACGUAAUAAAAGUAAAAUUCGAUAUUAAAAUCGAACGAGGUAGGAUUUCGGAAUUAAGUUAAUAGCUAUUCCGAACGCACUACCGUCCCGUCCAUCGUCGCUUCGUCGGCGGGGCGGAGACUGAGCGUAU
Molecule: ribosomal RNA, 578 nt
Filed under: Paravulvus hartingii
Lineage: Eukaryota; Metazoa; Nematoda; Enoplea; Dorylaimida; Nygolaimidae
Description: partial large subunit ribosomal RNA
Source: RNAcentral